UGAAGCCGGGCACUCUGGCGGGACUGCCAUCGACAAGAUGGAGAAGGUGGGAUGACGUCAAGUCAUCAUGGCCCUUAUGUCCAGGGCGACACACGUGCUACAAUGGCCGGCACAGCGGGAAGCGAGGCAGUGAUGCCAAGCGGAUCCCUUAAAGCCGGUCUCAGUUCGGAUUGAAGUCUGCAACUCGACUUCAUGAAGCUGGAAUCGCUAGUAAUCGCAGAUCAGCCAAGCUGCGGUGAAUACGUUCCCGGGCCUU
This 256-nucleotide ribosomal RNA is filed under the name uncultured Thermanaerovibrio sp. RNAcentral describes it as "partial 16S ribosomal RNA". It matches the Rfam family "Bacterial small subunit ribosomal RNA", at positions 1126 to 1382 of the family's 1533-position model. The record is from RNAcentral. Lineage: Bacteria; Thermotogati; Synergistota; Synergistia; Synergistales; Synergistaceae.